This 157-nucleotide ribosomal RNA is filed under the name fungal sp. MUT 2180. Its description in RNAcentral is "5.8S ribosomal RNA". It matches the Rfam family "5.8S ribosomal RNA". Rfam says of the family: 5.8S ribosomal RNA (5.8S rRNA) is a component of the large subunit of the eukaryotic ribosome. It is transcribed by RNA polymerase I as part of the 45S precursor that also contains 18S and 28S rRNA. Lineage: Eukaryota; Fungi. The record is from RNAcentral.
AACUUUCAACAACGGAUCUCUUGGUUCUGGCAUCGAUGAAGAACGCAGCGAAAUGCGAUAAGUAGUGUGAAUUGCAGAAUUCAGUGAAUCAUCGAAUCUUUGAACGCACAUUGCGCCCCUCGGUAUUCCGUGGGGCAUGCCUGUUCGAGCGUCAUUU